AUUACUACAUGAGAACAUUACUAGUUUGCUAUUUCAUUCUUAUGUGCACCUUUUUAUCCUUUUUAAAUGAAAUUCUGGUUGCUUGGUGAAAGAAAAAAGGACCAUGAUGAAAGAGCUUAUCUCUUAUCUUCUGGAUCCUUGUUAAGCCAGUAUCAGAACUGUUUGUUGUAUUUUAAGUGUCCAUAUUACUGUAUGAGAACAUUACUGGGCUGCUAUUUCAUUCUUAUGUGCUCCUCUUUAUCGGUUAAAUGAAGUUCUGGUUGCUUGGUGAAAGAAAAAAGGACCAUGAUGAAAGAGCUUAUCUCUUAUCUUCUGGAUCCUUGUUAAGCCAGUAUCAGAACUGUUCGUUGUAUUUUAAGUGUCCAUAUUACUGUAUGAGAACAUUACUGGGUUGUUAUUUCAUUGUUAUGUGCUCCUCUUUAUCGGUUAAAUUACAUUCUGGUUACUUGUGAAAGAAACAAGGACCAUGAUGAAAAAGCUUCUCUCUUAACUUCUGGAUCCCUAAUAAUCUGGUAUAAGAAUCCCACUCCAAAAAUCAGUGUUUUUGUUUUGUCCAUUGUAUUAUAAAUGUCCAUAUUACUGCAUGAGAACAUUAUUGGGUUGCUAUUCAUUCUUAUGUGCUCCUCUUUAUCGGUUAAAUGAAGUUCUGUUUGCUUGGUGAAAGAAAAAAGGACCAUGAUGAAAGAGCUUAUCUCUUAUCUUCUGGAUCCUUGUUAAGCCAGUAUCAGAACUGUUCGUUGUAUUUUAAGUGUCCAUAUUACUGUAUGAGAACAUUACUGGGUUGUUAUUUCAUUGUUAUGUGCUCCUCUUUAUCGGUUAAAUUACAUUCUGGUUACUUGUGAAUGAAACAAGGACCAUGAUGAAAAAGCUUCUCUCUUAACUUCUGGAUCCCUAAUAAUCUGGUAUAAGACUCACACUCCAAAAAAAAAAAAAAAGUAAAUUCAGUGUUUUGUUUCGUCCAUUGUAUUAUAAAUGUCCACAUUACCGCAUGAGAACAUUAUUGGGUUGCUGUUUCAUUCUUAUGUGCUCCUCUUUAUCAGUUAAAUUAAGUUCUGUUUGC
This is a long non-coding RNA of Cyprinus carpio carpio, 1060 nucleotides long. The record is from Ensembl. Lineage: Eukaryota; Metazoa; Chordata; Actinopteri; Cypriniformes; Cyprinidae.